UGCCACCACUCUCCGCGGUUGACGCUCCCCUCAAGGGACCUUUGUAUAAACAAAACUAGUUUUCUGACCAUUAAGUGAUAAUCAAAGAAGGCGUCUCCAUAUGGACGUAAACGACGACUAAAUUCGUCCUCGAGCUGGUUUUGCCCGUAACAAAUAUGAACUAUUGUUUGUAUGCUUUUACCACAAAAAUAUCCAAAAUAUUAAUAUUGGAACGUUCGGGCGUGACUUCUGAAGAACUUCGAUUUAUUGGAAUUUGGCAUACUUUCGUAAAAUUGGAUACACAUGGCAAUUAAUUCACCUGUUGGAUUCACACCCUUUUUUUUACGUUAUACCAACACGGCCGAUGACAAAUUGAUACUUAGUAUUUCUUCUCAUAGAUCGAAAAUGUGAGAAAACAGAUUUACGUACUACAUAGAUUACAGUAUAACGCUUCGUGAUACGUAAACUACAUAAAUAAACAAUUCCCUGCAAGGUCGUCAUGUUCUGCACUUCUAUCUGCGGGGCGAAGAAUUCAGUACAUGACAUUGGCACUAAAACUAAUAAAAACAAUUACCAGCUAGUUCAGCCGACACUCAGUCGAGCGACUUCUAAAAUGUGAUCACGCUCACGUCCUAAUAUUAAGAUUUUGAAUUAUUUUUUUUUCAAUAAAAACGUACAAACAAUAGUUUGCACCGUUGAAUUAUGCCACAAACACUGUUUUUCGAGUGUUCUUCUUGUUUGCCAAAAACCCUUCAACUCUUAUAAUUUUCGAUACUACGGGUUACUGAUAUUAUCACGUAUUUUGGAGACUAUUUCCAACAAUCUCUCGCCUAGAUUUCUUGGUACCUUAUUCAUUUGAAAAAAGUCGCAAUUGUGAAAACAAUGAAGAAAUGUUCUAAACAUAUUGAGCUUUCGCGAAGUUGAACUUCGAAAUACUUAGUAUUUUUAAAACAAUCAGUAACCUUUCCACAUCGUUAUUUCACAGAGCUGAUUUGAGGCGGGUUAGCUCCCCUUAAUAUUGCACCCAUUCUCCUUAUGCCUGCACAUAGUAAUUGACUAUGGUAUUAAUUGUGUCACGCAAUGCUAACAGUACUCACGCCAUCCGCGUAAGAGAACAGCAUCGAGUAUUAUACGUAAAAUUUUCCGACUAACUCGCUGUGCACUGCUGGCAGUAACUGACGGAAACCGCUGGGCAUCAGUCUUGCAGAUUUGCGACAGAGAGCGCGCUACACGAAUUCAAAAACCUUGAAUAAAAUCGAUGCUCACUAUCAUUGAAAACGAUCGAGCCAUACUUUCAAUGCCACAAAUAGACAUCCCAGGGCACAGGUUGAUAUUACUCGAUGGAACACUGACAAUGAUACCGAACGUUGUAUGUACGACAUGUGGGUGAUGGAUCAAUGAAAAAUCAAGUGCGAUUACGCAUUGUGUGAUAAUAUUAUCAUUAUCAGAAUUCAUUAAUGUGAGCCGACCGUAUACCGUGAUUCUGAAUAAUCACCGUGCACCCGCCUUGUUCAAUUCUUCAUCUGAUAAAUUGAGAAGUGAUAGCAAACCAAAUAGAUGCACCAACAAUAAACUAUAAACUAUGUAUCAUAAAGAGAAAACACUUGUUUUUUGCACUUCAUUCACUGAUUUC
This is a long non-coding RNA of Neodiprion virginianus, 1612 nucleotides long. RefSeq lists it as uncharacterized. The transcript is spliced from 3 exons. NCBI's taxonomy places the organism in Eukaryota, Metazoa, Arthropoda, Insecta, Hymenoptera, Diprionidae. The record is from RefSeq and is a predicted model, not a curated record.